Molecule: non-coding RNA, 378 nt
Organism: Biomphalaria pfeifferi
Lineage: Eukaryota; Metazoa; Mollusca; Gastropoda; Planorbidae
Source: the annotation of a GenBank genome assembly
AUAAUUUAAAAAAAAAAAAAAAAAGAAUCUUGAAUAGGAAUUUGUAAAUUUAAGAUUGGCAUUAAAAAUCUAAAUAGGCCUCCUGGUUACAAAAUUCAUAAACUUAUAUGUCUUUUGAGGUCAUUGUUAAUGUCUGCUUUUAAGUAGGCUGGUUAUUAUAUUUUAUCAAUUUAGUACAUAUAUAAAAAUAAUUUGCUUCAAUAGUUGACCUUUUAAUUAUAGUUUCAAAAUAUUUUAAUCAGCACACUAUAUCAUUUUGGAUGUAAUACUAUCAGUCUUGCUACACAAGUAUUGAAUAAUAAGACUGACUAAUGAUAGCAGGAGGUCUUUACAAUUUUCUUGUUCAAAACAAAAUAAUUUACAUUGUUGUUAGAUUUC